This 235-nucleotide ribosomal RNA is filed under the name uncultured bacterium. RNAcentral describes it as "partial 16S ribosomal RNA". It matches the Rfam family "Bacterial small subunit ribosomal RNA", at positions 29 to 253 of the family's 1533-position model. The record is from RNAcentral.
AACGAACGCUGGCGGCGCGCUUAACACAUGCAAGUCGAACGAGAAGGCGUAGCAAUACGCUUGUACAGUGGCGAACGGGUGAGUAAUACGUGGGCGACCUACCCUCGAGUGGGGAAUAACCCGCCGAAAGGCGGGCGUAAUGCCGCGUACGCUUCCAUCUUUAUGGAGGUGGAAGGAAAGCCGUGCCGUGGGCACGGCGCUCAAGGAUGGGCUCACGUCCUAUCAGCUUGUUGGA